CUACAAUCAUGCCGUUAACAUCGAGGCUUUUUUCCUGCCCGUGUCUCGUCUCACCAGCGCAUGUGCUGGGUGCUUGGCUGUAUAAAAAGGAUGUGCUAUUCCCAGGAGUAAUUAAAGGCAUGUGCAACUGUUGACAGAAUCUAAGCCCAGAGUGGUAAACACAGCAGCUGGGAUCUGGCAAGAGCCAGGCUUUGAAUGGAGAAUUAAACUUGAUCAAACCGAAAUGAGUUAAAGCUUCAAAGACAAUAUCAUAAACUCGUAUUCCCCAAAAGUCAGUGCUUAGCCUGGAUCAUUUGGAAACAUCUGAUCUGCAGAGGAAGCAAAGAGCCAUUACAUCAAGAGACACAGCAAUCCCAGUUGUCUGGUCUGCAAAUCAAACCAGGGUCGUCUGGUCUGGAUGUCUGACGAG
Long non-coding RNA from Corapipo altera (White-ruffed manakin), 409 nucleotides. RefSeq lists it as uncharacterized. The transcript is spliced from 3 exons. NCBI's taxonomy places the organism in Eukaryota, Metazoa, Chordata, Aves, Passeriformes, Pipridae. The record is from RefSeq and is a predicted model, not a curated record.